RNAcentral lists this ribosomal RNA (405 nucleotides) under Providencia rettgeri. RNAcentral describes it as "bacterial SSU rRNA". It matches the Rfam family "Bacterial small subunit ribosomal RNA", at positions 340 to 737 of the family's 1533-position model. The record is from RNAcentral. Lineage: Bacteria; Pseudomonadati; Pseudomonadota; Gammaproteobacteria; Enterobacterales; Morganellaceae.
UACGGGGGGCNUUUGUGGGGAAUAUUGCACAAUGGGCGCAAGCCUGAUGCAGCCAUGCCGCGUGUAUGAAGAAGGCCCUAGGGUUGUAAAGUACUUUCAGUCGGGAGGAAGGCGUUGAUGCUAAUAUCAUCAACGAUUGACGUUACCGACAGAAGAAGCACCGGCUAACUCCGUGCCAGCAGCCGCGGUAAUACGGAGGGUGCAAGCGUUAAUCGGAAUUACUGGGCGUAAAGCGCACGCAGGCGGUUGAUUAAGUUAGAUGUGAAAUCCCCGGGCUUAACCUGGGAAUGGCAUCUAAGACUGGUCAGCUAGAGUCUUGUAGAGGGGGGUAGAAUUCCAUGUGUAGCGGUGAAAUGCGUAGAGAUGUGGAGGAAUACCGGUGGCGAAGGCGGCCCCCUGGACAAA